CCAAGGUUUAGGUUCUAGGGGGCGCCAAAGAUAACACUAAAAUCCACAUAUUUAAAAGUCUUAUAACUUUUUAUUUUUGUCCUCACUGGCCUCCAAGUUUUCUAGGAUGAUGCAAUGUCCAGCCAUCAACACAUUUGUGAAGGAAUUUUUACUCCCCAAAAGAGCGCCCCCCCAUGGCAGGAGAAAAAAAGUCCAUUUUUUCUUGUCCCCUAAGGUGAAAAUACACAUUGUUGAGUGUCACGCCUAUACGCUUUGUCAAAAUGACACAAAAAUUGACACACACAUGUAACUCAAUAAGAUCUACGAAAAAGUCAAUGCGCGCGUAUCUGUCAAAUGUACGGUUAAAGGGUUAUUCCGCAUUUUUUGCCAAUCCGCACACAUUGGAAUUUCGCUAACUCCUCCGAAGGCUUUCUGUCCACCGGCACCACAUUUGCUCAGGCCAAUCUACACCCCAUGGCCAUUAAAAGUUAUUCAAAUCAUGACGCUGCACCCCACGGUUUAGGUUCUAGGGGGCGCCAAAGACAACCCUAAAAUCCACAUAUUUAAAAGUCUUAUAACUUUUUAUUUUUGUCCUCACUGGCCUCCAUGUUUUCUAGGAUGAUGCAAUGUCCAGCCAUCAACACAUUUGUGAAGGAGUUUUUUCUCGUUAAAAGAGCGCCCCCCGUGGCAGGAGAAUAAAGUCAAGUUUUUCCUGUUCAUCAUUCAAUGGCUCAAACGCACUGCUCUCUCGGCAAAAGCGAAAGGAGGAGCAACUUGCCAUUUGGAUAUAUCUUAGCUGUCUUUGUGCCCUCACUCAUGGUCCAGACUUUUUUCAAAUAGGACAUGGAGUUUUUCUGCAGCGAGCGUUUUGGUAGAAACUGCGCCUCCCGUUCAUUAUAAUGGUAAAUGACCACAAACAAGUGCGCACACCAUCUUUGGACCUUGAGUGUGACGCGAUCGGGUGGGGGAGGCGGUCGCGCUUGGGGCGGCGUGACACGGCUCGGGCCCGCCAGUGCCCCAACGGGGCCCUAGUUUCUUUUUCCUCCCCUUUGAACUGGAAAAUGGCCCACUUCCCACUGGCGAAAACUCAUGAAAUUUGGCAGGACGACCGGGCCUGGUGAAAAAUUUGAUAUUCCGAAGUCGCCCAAACAAUAAAAUGCAAAAUGGCUCCAUAGCGCCCCCUAAGGUGAAAAUUCACACUAUUGACUGUCACGCCUGUACGCUUUGGCAAAAUGACACAAAAAUUGACACACACAUGUAUCUCAAUAAGAUCUACAAAAAAGUCAGUGCGGGCGUAUCUGUCAAAUGUACGGUUAAAGGGCUAUUUCGCAUUUUUUGCCGAUCCGCACACAUUGGAAUUUCGCUAACUCCUCCGAAGGCUUUCGUUCCACCGGCACCACAUUUGCUCAGGCCAAUCUACACCCCAUGGCCAUUAAAAGUUAUUCAAAUCAUGACGCUGCACCCCACGGUUUAGGUUCUAGGGGGCGCCAAAGAUAACCCUAAAAUCCACAUAUUUAAAAGUCUUAUAACUUUUUAUUUUUGCCCUCACUGGCCUCCAAGUUUUCUAGGAUGAUGCAAUGUCCAGCCAUCAACACAUUUGUGAAGGAAUUUUUACUCCCCAAAAGAGCGCCCCCCCCAUGGCAGGAGAAAAAAGUCCAUUUUUUCUUGUCCCCUAAGGUGAAAAUACACAUUGUUGAGUGUCACGCCUGUACGCUUUGUCAAAAUGACACAAAAAUUGACACACACAUGUAACUCAAUAAGAUCUACAAAAAAGUCCAUGCGCGCGUAUCUGUCAAAUGUACGGUUAAAGGGUUAUUCCGCAUUUUUUGCCGAUUCGCACACAUUGGAAUUUCGCUAACUCCUCCGAAGGCUUUCGUUCCACCGGCACCACAUUUGCUCAGGCCAAUCUACACCCCAUGGCCAUUAAAAGUUAUUCAAAUCAUGACGCUGCACCCCACGGUUUAGGUUCUAGGGGGCGCCAAAGAUAACCCAAAAAUCCACAGUCUUAAAAGUCUUAUAACUUUUUAUUUUUGUCCUCACUGGCCUCCAAGUUUUCUAGGAUGAUGCAAUGUCCAGCCAUCAACACAUUUGUGAAGGAAUUUUUACUCCCUAAAAGAGCGCCCCCCAUGGCAGGAGAAAAAAGUCCAUUUUUUCUUGUCCCCUAAGAUGAAAAUACACAUUGUUGACUGUCACGCCUGUACGCUUUGGCAAAAUGACACAAAAAUUGACAAUCAUGUGUAUCUCAAUUAGAUCUACGAAAAAGUCAAAGAGCGCGUAUCUGUAUAAUGUACGGUAAAAGGGCUAUUUUGCAUUUUUUGCCGAUUCGCACACAUUGGAAUUUCGCUAACUCCUCCUAAGGCUUUCGUCCCACUGACACCAAAUUUGCUCAGGCCAAUCUACACUCCAUGGCCAUUCAAAGUUGUAAAAAUCAUGACGCUGCACCCCACGGUUUACGUUUUAGGGGGCGCCAAAGAUGACCCAAAUAUACAUUACAGUAGACAAAGUAGUUUUGCCCACUGAGUGGCGCCAAAGGGACUUGUCUGUGGAGUCUGUGAGUCACUAUUGGCCGUUUUUGACUACUUUAGAUUUUACCUUUAUAUUUCCUCUUACAAAAUUUUUACCUUGCCUUGCCUGGUAUCAUUUUUUUCAGCACAACCUCACCUGUGUCAAUUUACAGUUAUUUUAUCAUUUUGACAUACUAUAUUUACACAUUGGACCCAAAUUCACACACAAAACAUAAAAUCCGAGUGGAAAAAAGUAACGUUUUUACUGUGAAAACCACAAAUAUGUGUGAUGAACUGUUUUUAAAACUUAAACUUCAAAUUAAAAUUGUAAACUUCAAAACAUAUGCAAAUUUUUAACAAAGAACAUAGUAAUUUACCUCUAUUUACAUCAAAAUGCAGGCAAUGGCCCAGGCGUUCUUUGUAAAAUUAUUUACAAAACACUGUAUAGUCUCACAAAUGUCACUUUUUAUUUAUGCCACUACAAAAAAACAUGAUGUAAAUGAUGCAUGAUGUAAAACAUGAUGUAAAAAACUUGUGUAGAUCCUCCUCUAUGUCAGUCCAUGUGUAAUUUUUCCAUAAUUCUUUGUUUUUUGCAGCAAUUUUGUUAGUGUAACUGCAGAUUGUGCUGACAGUGUCUAUGGCACAAAAAAAAAAAAAAUUAAAAUGCCUCAACAUGAACCCCUGGUGGUCUCUGAGGGUGAAACCUGCUAACUGCUGCAGCUCUGUCAGCUUCAGUCUCCCAUGCAGAGCUCUGAGCGCAUGUGUGGCUCUGCACCCUUAGCAGCGUUGCUAACUCCUCAGUAAGGAAAGCCUGCUUCAUGUCAGAGUCUCUAAACUCCAGAAGAAGUCGAUAAAAGUCCCUUUCUUUCUAAAAAAAAGUCGUUAGGGGGUCUGAAAAGUCAUUGAAUCUAACAACAAAGUCGCUAGGUUUGCAACUACGUGUCCCAGACUGCAUCCCUGCUGAGAGUCCCUCCCUCCCUUCUCAUGUUGCAGGAAGAACGUAAGCGCCCGCCCCUUGUCAAUCAGUCACCAUAUAAUUUUGGAUUGGUUGUUGUGGUGAAGUUUUCCACCAAUAGGAGAGAUGUUGUGGUGUGUUUUUUUUUUCUUUUGGCAAGCCUUUUCCGCCUGUAAGACCUGUCGCUAAUGUCUGCAUGCUAUGUUUUCCUGUCUCAUACAGCGCGAUCGAGCGCCGAACGUGAUCAAAAUAAGCAGAAAAAAAGUAUCGCGGACAUAAUUUAUCAUAACUCUGGUUUUAUUUGGCCUAUCAACACAAUUUAAAAACUGGUAUAUAGGUUGAGGUCCUCACUUUUGAGAUAACUUGAAACGGAGAGUCAACGAGGCUCCGUCUUGCAGCUACAUCCGGGUAAAUAUGUCAUGUGACUUGAACGCACACAUAGACACACACACGCACACACACACACACACACACACACACACACACACACACACACACACACACACACACACACACACACACACACACAGAGUCUGGUUUUUAGCACCUGCAAAAACAUGCUAUUUACAUUUUUGACAAGAAUGCAGAGGCUCCUUUUGCCCCUGAAAAAAAUCAAAUUUCAAACACAACUUGACUGGUCAUUUCUCCAAAAGACAACCAUGAAGCUCCAUCCAAACCUGAAGCAGGCAGUUGGUGCAUGUGUACAGUAACCUGAGGGGAGUGAGGGGAGUGCUUCUGAGGAGAACAUGAGCAGUGAAGAUUCACCUUGGAGCUAGAACAGAGACAUGCACAUGAUUAUACAGGGGCAGGGGCUCAAGUUUUUUCCAGUCGUUUAUACAAUAUGGAAAUUAAUGUGAAAUUAAAACACAAAGUAUUAAUAGAAAGGUAAUGACUGUCCUGUGUAGGUGACAGUGAUAUCCAAUAGGCUAGGCACUCACGAGGCUGGCUGUGGCAAGUGUAAGUGAAAGCAACACGCACUGGCAGGAAGAACAGCAAACGCCGAUGAAGGAAAAGGGUCUUUGCAGUGAUGGGCGUUACCAGAGAGGGCAAUGGCCAGAGGACACAAAUGGGACGGGGAGGCAGCACGUUGGGGGGGGGACGCAACACGGCUCGGGCCCGCCAGUGCCCCAACGGGGUCCUAGUUCUUUCUUUCUUUCUUUCUUUCUUCUUUUUCCUCCCCUUUGAACUGGAAAAUGGCCCACUUCCCACUGGCGAAAACUCAUGAAAUUUGGCAGGACGACCGGGCCUGGUGAAAAAUUCGAUAUUCUGAAGUCGCCCAAACAAUAAAAUGCAAAAUGGCUCCAUAGCGCCCCCUAAGGUGAAAAUUCACACUAUUGACUGUCACGCCUGUACGCUUUGUCAUAUUGACACAAAAAUUGACACACAUAUGUAUCUCAAUAAGAUCUACAAAAAAGUCAGUGCGGCCAUAUCUGUCAAAAUUACGGUUAAAGGGUUAUUUCGCAUUUUUUGCCGAUCCGCACACAUUGGAAUUUCGCUAACUCCUCCGAAGGCUUUCGUUCCACCGGCACCACAUUUGCUCAGGCCAAUCUACACCCCGUGGCCAUUAAAAGUUAUCAAAAUCAUGACGCUGCACCCCAAGGUUUAGGUUCUAGGGGGCGCCAAAGAUAACACUAAAAUCCACAUAUUUAAAAGUCUUAUAACUUUUUAUUUUUGUCCUCACUGGCCUCCAAGUUUUCUAGGAUGAUGCAAUGUCCAGCCAUCAACACAUUUGUGAAGGAAUUUUUACUCGCCAAAAGAGCGCCCCCCCAUGGCAGGAGAAAAAAGUCCAUUUUUUCUUGUCCCCUAAGGUGAAAAUACACAUUGUUGAGUGUCACGCCUAUACGCUUUGUCAAAAUGACACAAAAAUUGACACACACAUGUAACUCAAUAAGAUCUACAAAAAAGUCCAUGCGCGCGUAUCUGUCAAAUGUACGGUUAAAGGGUUAUUCCGCAUUUUUUGCCGAUACGCACACAUUGGAAUUUCGCUAACUCCUCCGAAGGCUUUCGUUCCACCGGCACCACAUUUGCUCAGGCCAAUCUACACCGCAUGGCCAUUAAAAGUUAUUCAAAUCAUGAUGCUGCACCCCAUGGUUUAGGUUCUAGGGGCGCCAAAAAUAACCCAAAAAUCCACAUUCUUAAAUGUUUUAUAACUUUUUAUUUUUGUCCUCACUGGCCUCCAAGUUUUCUAGGAUGAUGCAAUGUCCAGCCAUCAACACAUUUGUGAAGGAAUUUUUACUCCCCAAAAGAGCGCCACCCCAUGGUAGGAGAAAAAAGUCAAUUUUUUCUUGUCCCCUUACAUAAAAAUACACAUUGUUGAGUGUCACGCCUGAACGCUUUGUCAUAUUGACACAAAAAUUGACAAUCAUGUGUAUCUCAAUUAGAUCUACGAAAAAGUCAAAGAGCGCGUAUCUGUAUAAUGUACGGUUAAAGGGCUAUUUUGCAUUUUUUGCCGAUUCGCACACAUUGGAAUGUGGCUAUCUCCUCCUAAGGCUUUCGUCCCACCGAUACCAAAUUUGCUCAGGGCAAUCUACACCCCAUGCCCAUUCAAAGUUGUAAAAAUCAUGACGCUGCACCCCACGGUUUACGUUCUAGGGGGCGCCAAAGAUGACCCAAAAAUCCACAUUCUUAAAAGUCAUUUUGGCCACUGCAGGAGUACAGAGUACUGCAGUUCUAGGGGGCGCCAAAGAUGACCCAAAAAUCCACAUUCUUAAAAGUCUUUUUGGCCACUGCAGGAGUACAGAGUACUGCAGGAUACACACACAUAUACACACACGCCAACAUACACACACACACACACACACACACACACACUCAGAGUCUGGUUUUUAGCACCUGCAAAAACAUGCUGUUUACAUAUUUGACAAGAAUGCAGAGGCUUCCUUUUGCCCCUGAAAAAAAUCAAAUUUCAAACACAACUUGACUGUUCAUUUCUCCAAAAGACAACCAUGAAGCUCCAUUUCAAACCUGAAGCAGAUAGUUGGUGCAUGUGUACAGUAACCUGAGGGGAGUGAGGUGACUAUUUCUGAGGAGAACAUGAGCAGUGAAGAUUCACCUUGGAGCUAGAACAGGGACGUGCACAUGAUUAUACAGGGGCAGGGGCUCAAGUUUUUUCCAGUCAUUUAUACAAUAUGGAAAUUAAUGUGAAAUUAAACCACAAAUAUGUGUGAUGAACUGUUUUUAAAACUUAAACUUCAAAUAAAAAUUGUAAACUUCAAAACAUAUGCAAAUUUUUAACAAAGAACAUAGUAAUUUACCUCUAUUUACAUCAAAAUGCAGGCAAUGGCCCAGGCGUUCUUUGUAAAAUUAUUUACAAAACACUGUAUAGUCUCAAAAAUGUCACUUUUUAUUUAUGCCACUACAAAAAAACAUGAUGUAAAUGAUGCAUGAUGUAAAACAUGAUGUAAAAAACUUGUGUAGAUCCUCCUCUAUGUCAGUCCAUGUGUAAUUUUUCCAUAAUUCUUUGUUUUUUGCAGCAUUUUUGUUAGUGUAACUGCAGAUUGUGCUGACAGUGUCUAUGGCACAAAAAAAAAAAAAAUUAAAAUGCCUCAACAUGAACCCCUGGUGGUCUCUGAGGGUGAAACCUGCUAACUGCUGCAGCUCUGUCAGCUUCAGUCUCCCAUGCAGAGCUCUGAGCGCAUGUGUGGCUCUGCACCCUUAGCAGCGUUGCUAACUCCUCAGUAAGGAAAGCCUGCUUCAUGUCAGAGUCUCUAAACUCCAGAAGAAGUCGAUAAAAGUCCCUUUCUUUCUAAAAAAAGUCGUUAGGGUGUCUGAAAAGUCAUUGAAUCUAACAACAAAGUCGCUAGGUUUGCAACUACGUGUCCCAGACUGCAUCCCUGCUGAGAGUCCCUCCCUCGCUUCUCAUGUUGCAAGAAGAACGUAAGCGCCCGCCCCUUGUCAAUCAGUCACCAUAUAAUUUUGGAUUGGUUGUUGUGGUGAAGUUUUCCACCAAUAGGAGAGAUGUUGUGGUGUGUUUUUUUUUUCUUUUGGCAAGCCUUUUCCGCCUGUAAGACCUGUCGCUAAUGUCUGCAUGCUAUGUUUUCCUGUCUCAUACAGCGCGAUCGAGCGCCGAACGUGAUCAAAAUAAGCAGAAAAAAAGUAUCGCGGACAUAAUUUAUCAUAACUCUGGUUUUAUUUGGCCUAUCAACACAAUUUAAAAACUGGUAUAUAGGUUGAGGUCCUCACUUUUGAGAUAAGUUGAAACGGAGAGUCAACGAGGCUCCGUCUUGCAGCUACAUCCGGUUAAAUAUGUCAUGUGACUUGAACGCACACAUAGACACACACACACGCACACACACACACACACACACACACACACACACACACACACUCAGAGUCUGGUUUUUAGCACCUGCAAAAACAUGCUAUUUACAUAUUUGACAAGAAUGCAGAGGCUCCUUUUGCCCCUGAAAAAAAUCAAAUUUCAAACACAACUUGACUGGUCAUUUCUCCAAAAGACAACCAUGAAGCUCCAUCCAAACCUGAAGCAGGCAGUUGGUGCAUGUGUACAGUAACCUGAGGGGAGUGAGGUGAGUGCUUCUGAGGAGAACAUGAGCAGUGAAGAUUCACCUUGGAGCUAGAACAGAGACAUGCACAUGAUUAUACAGGGGCAGGGGCUCAAGUUUUUUCCAGUCGUUUAUACAAUAUGGAAAUUAAUGUGAAAUUAAAACACAAAGUAUUAAUAGAAAGGUAAUGACUGUCCUGUGUAGGUGACAGUGAUAUCCAAUAGGCUAGGCACUUACGAGGCUGGCUGUGGCAAGUGUAAGUGAAAGCAACACGCACUGGCAGGAAGAACAGCAAACGCCGAUGAAGGAAAAGGGUCUUUGCAGUGAUGGGCGUUAACAGAGAGGGCGAUGGCCAGAGGACACAAAUGGGACGGGGAGGCAGCACGUUGGGGGGGGGGGGGGGGACGCGACACGGCUCGGGCCCGCCAGUGCCCCAACGGGGUCCUAGUUAGGGCCCGAGCCAGCUGCAGAGCAGCCGGGCGUAGAGCCCUAUUAUUCCUGUAUAGGUUUUUAGGGCCCGAGCGUAGCUGCUAAGCAGCUGCGAGAGCCCUCUUGUUCCUGCAUGUUUCCUUCUUUCGUUAUUAUUUUUCCUCCGCUUUAAACUGGAAAAUGGCCCACUUCCCACUGGCGAAAACUCAGGAAAUUUGGCAGGACGACCGGGCCUGGUGAAAAAUUCGAUAUUCUGAAGUCGCCCAAACAAUAAAAUGCAAAAUGGCUCCAUAGCGCCCCCUAAGGUGAAAAUUCACAUGACGGCUGUACGCUUUGUCAUAUUGACACAAAAAUUGACACACACAUGUAUCUCAAUAAGAUCUACAAAAAAGUCAGUGCGGGCGUAUCUGUCAAAUGUACGGUUAAUGGGUUAUUUUGCAUUUUUUGCAGAUCUGCACACAUUGGAAUUUCGCUAACUCCUCUGAAGGCUUUCGUUCGACCGGCACCACAUUUGCGCAGGCCAAUCUACCCCCCAUGGCCAUUAAAAGUUGUACAAAUCAUGACGCUGCACCCCACGGUUUACGUUCUAGGGGGCGCCAAAGAUAACCCAAAAUCCACAUUCUUAAAAGUCUUAUAACUUUUUAUUUUUGUCCUCACUGGCCUCCAAGUUUUCUAGGAUGAUGCAAUGUCCAGCCAUCAACACAUUUGUGAAGGAAUUUUUACUCCCCAAAAGAGCGCCCCCCCAUGGCAGGAGAAAAAAGUCCAUUUUUUCUUGUCCCCUAAGGUGAAAAAACACAUUGUUGACUGUCACGCCUUUACGCUUUGUCAUAUUGACACAAAAAUUGACACACACGUGUAUCUCAAUACGGUCUACGAAAAAGUCAGUGCGGGCGCAUCUGUGAAAUGUACGGUUAGAGGGUUAUUUCACAUUUUUUGCAGAUCUGCACACAUUGGAAUUUCGCUAACUCCUCCGAAGGCAUUCAUUCCACCGGCACCACAUUUGCUCAGGCCAAUCUACACCCCAUGGCCAUUAAAAGUUGUACAAAUCAUGACGCUGCACCCCACGGUUUACGUUCUAGGGGGCGCCAAAGAUAACCCUAAAAUCCACAGUCUUAAAAGUCUUAUAACUUUUUAUUUCUGUCCUCACUGGCCUCCAAGUUUUCUAGGAUGAUGCAAUGUCCAGCCAUCAACACAUUUGUGAAGGAAUUUUUACUCCCCAAAAGAGCGCCCCCACAUGGCAGGAGAAAAAAGGCCAUUUUUUCUUGUCCUAUAAGGUGAAAAUACACAUUGUUGAGUGUCACGCCUGUACGCUUUGUCAUAUUGAAACAAAAUUUGAUAAUCACGUGUAUCUCAAUAAGAUCUACGAAAAAGUCAAUGCGCACGUGUCUGCAAAAUGUACGGUUAAAGGGCUAUUUCGCAUUUUUGGUUGAUUCGCACACAUUGGAAUGUGGCUAACUCCUCCUAAAGCUUUCGUUCCACCGGCACCAAAUUUGCUCAGGCCAAUCUACACCCCAUGGCCAUUAAAAGUUGUACAAAUCAUGACGCUGCACCCCACGGUUUACGUUCUAGGGGGCGCCAAAGAGGACCCAAAUAUCCACAUUUUUAAAAGUCUUAUAACUUUUUAUUUUUGUCCUCACUGGCCUCCAAGUUUUCUAGAAUGAUGCAAUGUCCAGCCAUCAACACAUUUGUGAAGGAAUUUUUUCUCCCCAAAAGAGCGCCCCCCCAUGGCAGGAGAAAAAGUCAAGUUUUUCCUGCCCAUCGCUCAAUGGCUCAAACGCAUCGCUCUCUCGGCAAAACCGAAAGGAGGAGCAACUUGCCAUUUGGAUAUAUACUAGUUGUGUUUAUGCCCUCACUCAUGGUCCAGACUUUUUUCAAAAAGGACAUGGAGUUUGUCUGCAGCGAGCAUUUUGGUAGAAACUGCGCCUCCCAUUCAUUAUAAUGGUAAAUGACCACAGACAAGUGCGCACACCAUCUUUGGACCUUGAGUGUGACGCGAUCGGGAGGGGUAGGCGGUCGCGCUGGGGGCGGCGCAACACGGCUCGGGCCCGCCAGUGCCCCAAUGGGGCCCUAGUUAGGGCCCGAGCGUAGCUGCUAAGCAGCUGCGAGAGCCCUCUUGUUCCUGAUGGAUUCUUCUUUCGUUAUUUUUCCUCCGCUUUAAACUGGAAAAUGGCCCACUUCCCACUGGCGAAAACUCAGGAAAUUUGGCAGGACGACCGGGCCUGGUGAAAAAUUUGAUAUUCUGAAGUCGCCCAAACAAAAAAAUGAAAAAUGGCUCCAUAGCGCCCCCUAUGGUGAAAACUCACCUGACGCCUGUACGCUUUGUCAAAAUGACACAAAAUUUGACACACAUGUGUAUCUCAAUAAGAUCUACAAAAAAGUCAGUGCGGGCGUAUCUGUCAAAUGUACGGUUAAAGGGCUAUUUCGCAUUUUUUGCCGAUCCGCACACAUUGGAAUUUCGCUAACUCCUCCGAAGGCUUUCGUUCCACCGGCACCAAAUUUGCUCAGGCCAAUCUACACCCCAUGGCCAUUAAAAGUUGUACAAAUCAUGACGCUGCACCCCACGGUUUAUGUUCUAGGGGGCGCCAAAAAUAACCCAAAAAUCCACAUUCUUAAAAGUCUUAUAACUUUUUAUUUUUGUCCUCACUGGCCUCCAAGUUUUCUAGGAUGAUGCUAUGUCCAGCCAUCAACACAUUUGUGAAGGAAUUUUUACUCCCCAAAAGAGCGCCCCCACAUGGCAGGAGAAAAAAGUCCAUUUUUUCUUGUCCCCUAAGGUGAAAAUACACAUUGUUGAGUGUCACACCUAUACGCUUUGUCAUAUUGACCCAAAAUUUGACAAUCACGUGUAUCUCAAUAAGAUCUACGAAAAAGUCAAUGGGCACGUAUCUGUAAAAUGUACGGUUAAAGGGUUAUUUCGCAUUUUUUCCCGAUCCGCACACAUUGGAAUUUCGCUAACUCCUCCGAAGGCUUUAGUUCCACCGCCACCAAAUUUGCUCAGGCCAAUCUACACCCCAUGGCCAUUAAAAGUUGUACAAAUCAUGACGCUGCACUCCACGGUUUAGGUUCUAGGGGGCGCCAAAGAUAACCCAAAAAUCCACAUUCUUAAUAGUCUUAUAACUUUUUAUUUUUGUCCUCACUGGCCUCCAAGUUUUCUAGGAUGAUGCAAUGUCCAGCCAUCAACACAUUUGUGAAGGAAUUUUUACUCCCGAAAAGAGCGCCCCCCAUGGCAGGAGAAAAAAGUCCAUUUUUUCUUGUCCCCUAAGGUGAAAAAACACAUUGUUGACUGUCACGCCUAUACGCUUUGUCAAAAUGACACAAAAUUUGACACACACGUGUAUCUCAAUAAGAUCUACGAAAAAGUCAAUGGGCACGUAUCUGUAAAACGUACGGUUAAAGGGCUAUUUCGCAUUUUUUGCCGAUUCGCACACAUUGGAAUGUGGCUAACUCCUCCUAAGGCUUUCUUCCCACCAACACCAAAUUUGCUCAAGCCGAUCUACAUCACAUGGCCAUUCAAAGUUGUAAAAAUCAUGCCGCUGCACCCCAUGGUUUACGUUCUAGGGGGCGCCAAAGAUGACCCAAAUAUCCACAUUCUUAAAAGAAUCCACCCCCCCCCCCCCCCCAAGGCAGGAGAAAAAGUCCAGUUAACCCUGCCCAUCGCUCAAUGGCUCAAUCGCAUCGCUCUCCUGGCAACACCGUAAGGAGGAGCAACUUGCCAUUUGGAUAUAUCCUAGCUGUGUUUGUGCCCUCACUCAUGGUCCAGACUUUUUUCAAAUAGGACAUGUAGUUUGUCUGCAGCGACCGUUUUGGUAGAAACUGCACCUCCCAUUCAUUAUAAUGGGAAAUGACCACAGACAAGUGCGCACACCAUCUUUGGACCUUGAGUGUGAUGCGAUCGUGAGGGGGAGGCGGUCGCGCUGGGGGCGGCGCGACGCGGCUCGGGCCCGACAGUGCCCCACCGGGGCCCUAGUUAUUAUUUUUCUGCCCCUUUGAACUGGAAAAUGGCCCACUUCCCACUGGUGAAAAGUCAUGAAAUUUGGCAGGACGACCGGGCCUGGUGAAAAAUUCGAUAUUCUGAAGUCGCCCAAAAAAUCAAAUGCAAAAUGGCUCCAUAGCGCCCCCUAAGGUGAAAAAUUCACAUGAUUGAGUGUCACGCCUGUACGCUUUGUCAAAAUGACACAAAAUUUGACACACACGUGUAUCUCAAUAAGAUCUACAAAAAAGUCAGUGCGGGCGUAUCUGUCAAAUGUACGGUUAAAGGGCUAUUUCGCAUUUUUUGCCGAUCCGCACACAUUGGAAUUUCGCUAACUCCUCCGAAGGCUUUCGUUCCACCGGCACCAAAUUUGCUCAGGCCAAUCUACACCCCAUGGCCAUUAAAAGUUGUACAAAUCAUGACGCUGCAUCCCACGGUUUACGUUCUAGGGGGCGCCAAAGAUAACCCAGAAAUCCACAUUCUUAAAAGUCGUAUAACUUUUUAUUUUUGUCCUCACUGGCCUCCAAGUUUUCUAGGAUGAUGCAAUGUCCAGCCAUCAACACAUUUGUGAAGGAAUUUUUACUCCCCAAAAGAGCGCCCCCCAUGGCAGGAGAAAAAAGUCCAUUUUUUCUUGUCUCCUAAGGCGAAAAUUCACACUAUUGACUGUCACGCCUUUACGCUUUGUCAUAUUGACACAAAAAUUGACACACACAUGUAUCUCAAUAAGAUCUACAAAAAAGUCAGUGCGGGCGUAUCUGUCAAAUGUACGGUGAAAGGGCUAUUUCGCAUUUUUUGCCGAUCCGCACACAUUGGAAUUUCGUUAACUCCUCCGAAG
Non-coding RNA from Xyrichtys novacula (pearly razorfish), 13171 nucleotides. NCBI's taxonomy places the organism in Eukaryota, Metazoa, Chordata, Actinopteri, Labriformes, Labridae. The record is from the annotation of a GenBank genome assembly.